This is a non-coding RNA of Cronartium quercuum f. sp. fusiforme G11, 84 nucleotides long. The record is from the annotation of a GenBank genome assembly. Lineage: Eukaryota; Fungi; Basidiomycota; Pucciniomycetes; Pucciniales; Coleosporiaceae.
GGUCGAUUAGCUUAGUUGGUAGAGCGUGGUACUAAUAUUUGGUUAUCAAUGCCAAGGUCAUGGGUUCGAGCCCCAUAUUGACCA